This 497-nucleotide ribosomal RNA is filed under the name uncultured bacterium. RNAcentral describes it as "partial 16S ribosomal RNA". It matches the Rfam family "Bacterial small subunit ribosomal RNA", at positions 28 to 507 of the family's 1533-position model. The record is from RNAcentral.
GACGAACGCUGGCGGCGUGCCUAAUACAUGCAAGUUGAGCGCUGAAGGUUGGUACUUGUACCAACUGGAUGAGCAGCGAACGGGUGAGUAACGCGUGGGGAAUCUGCCUUUGAGCGGGGGACAACAUUUGGAAACGAAUGCUAAUACCGCAUAAAAACUUUAAACACAAGUUUUAAGUUUGAAAGAUGCAAUUGCAUCACUCAAAGAUGAUCCCGCGUUGUAUUAGCUAGUUGGUGAGGUAAAGGCUCACCAAGGCGAUGAUACAUAGCCGACCUGAGAGGGUGGUCGGCCACAUUGGGACUGAGACACGGCCCAAACUCCUACGGGAGGCAGCAGUAGGGAAUCUUCGGCAAUGGACGAAAGUCUGACCGAGCAACGCCGCGUGAGUGAAGAAGGUUGUCGGAUCGUAAAACUCUGUUGGUAGAGAAGAACGUUGGUGAGAGUGGAAAGCUCAUCAAGUGACGGUAACUACCCAGAAAGGGACGGCUAACUACGUG